This 340-nucleotide ribosomal RNA is filed under the name uncultured bacterium. Its description in RNAcentral is "bacterial SSU rRNA". It matches the Rfam family "Bacterial small subunit ribosomal RNA", at positions 457 to 793 of the family's 1533-position model. The record is from RNAcentral.
UAGCUGCAUUAUUUGACGUUAGCGACAGAAGAAGCACCGGCUAACUCCGUGCCAGCAGCCGCGGUAAUACGGAGGGUGCGAGCGUUAAUCGGAAUUACUGGGCGUAAAAGCGCAUGCAGGUGGUUUGUUAAGUCAGAUGUGAAAAGCCCGGGCUCAAACCUCGGAAAUAGCAUUUGAAAACUGGCAGACUAGAGUACUGUAGAGGGGGUAGAAUUUCAGGUGUAGCGGUGAAAAUGCGUAGAGAUCUGAAGGAAUACCGGUGGCGAAGGCGGCCCCUGGACAGAUACUGACACUCAGAUGCGAAAGCGUGGGGAGCAAACAGGAUUAGAUACCCUGGUAG